Molecule: non-coding RNA, 30 nt
Filed under: Homo sapiens (human)
Lineage: Eukaryota; Metazoa; Chordata; Mammalia; Primates; Hominidae
Source: RNAcentral
UAGGUCAUUGAGAAAGAGUACAACUGCUGC